UACGGAGGGUGCGAGCGUUAAUCGGAAUUACUGGGCGUAAAGGGUGCGUAGGUGGUUUAUUAAGUUAGCUGUGAAAUUCCUGGGCUUAACCUGGGCAGGUCAGCUAAGACUGAUGGACUCGAGUAUGGGAGAGGGCAGUGGAAUUUCCGGUGUAGCGGUGAAAUGCGUAGAGAUCGGAAGGAACACCAGUGGCGAAGGCGGCUGCCUGGCCUAAUACUGACACUGAGGCACGAAAGCGUGGGGAGCAAACAGG
RNAcentral lists this ribosomal RNA (253 nucleotides) under uncultured bacterium. Its description in RNAcentral is "partial 16S ribosomal RNA". It matches the Rfam family "Bacterial small subunit ribosomal RNA", at positions 524 to 776 of the family's 1533-position model. The record is from RNAcentral.